UACGUAGGAGGCGAGCGUUGUCCGGAGUUACUGGGCGUAAAGGGUGCGCAGGCGGCUUAUCAAGUCAGGCGUGAAAUUCCCGGGCUCAACCUGGGGGCUGCGCUUGAUACUGAUGAGCUUGAAUGCGGGAGAGGAUAGUGGAAUUCCCAGUGUAGAGGUGAAAUUCGUAGAUAUUGGGAAGAACACCGGUGGCGAAGGCGGCUAUCUGGCCCGUAAUUGACGCUGAGGCGCGAAAGCGUGGGGAGCAAACAGG
Molecule: ribosomal RNA, 253 nt
Filed under: uncultured bacterium
Lineage: Bacteria
Description: partial 16S ribosomal RNA
Rfam family: Bacterial small subunit ribosomal RNA
Source: RNAcentral